Molecule: ribosomal RNA, 253 nt
Filed under: uncultured bacterium
Lineage: Bacteria
Description: partial 16S ribosomal RNA
Rfam family: Bacterial small subunit ribosomal RNA
Source: RNAcentral
UACGUAGGGGGCAAGCGUUGUCCGGAAUCAUUGGGCGUAAAGAGCGUGUAGGCGGCCAGGCAAGUCCGUUGUGAAAACUAGAGGCUUAACCUCUAGACGUCGAUGGAAACUGUUUGGCUAGAGUCCGGAAGAGGAGAAUGGAAUUCCUGGUGUAGCGGUGAAAUGCGCAGAUAUCAGGAAGAACACCCGUGGCUAAGGCGGUUCUCUAGUACGGUACUGACGCUGAGACGCGAAAGCGUGGGGAGCGAACAGG